Molecule: ribosomal RNA, 433 nt
Filed under: uncultured bacterium
Lineage: Bacteria
Description: partial 16S ribosomal RNA
Rfam family: Bacterial small subunit ribosomal RNA
Source: RNAcentral
GGGGGGCGGGGGGGGGGGGCCGGGGGCGUGCGGGGCGGGCGGGGCCGCGGGGGGGGGGGGCGGCCGGGGGCGGGGGGCGGGGGAACCUGCCCUGGGGUUCGGGAUAACUCCCCGAGAGGGGUGCUAAUACCGGGUAAUGUCUUCGGACGAAAGAUGUAUCGCCUUGGGAUGGGCCCGCGUUGGCUUAGCUAGUUGGUAGGGUAAAAGCCUACCAAGGGGCCGAUCCAUAGCUGGUCGGAGAGGAUGGUCAGCCACACUGGGACUGAGACACGGCCCAGACUCCUACGGGAGGCAGCAGUGGGGAAUAUUGGAAAAUGGGCGAAAGCCUGAUCCAGCAAGGCCGCGUGAGUGAUGAAGGCCGUAGGGUUGUAAAGCUCUUUUACCCGGGAUGAUAAUGACAGUACCGGGAGAAUAAGCCCCGGCUAACUCCGUG